Molecule: unclassified non-coding RNA, 378 nt
Filed under: uncultured bacterium
Lineage: Bacteria
Description: contains 16S-23S intergenic spacer region
Source: RNAcentral
UCCGGUUUGGCACCGGCAGUCCUCCCAGAGUCCUCGGCUUUACCCGGUAGCAACUGGGAGCGGGGGUUGCGCUCGUUACGGGACUUAACCCAACAUCUCACGACACGAGCUGACGACAGCCAUGCAGCACCUGUGCUGGUGUUCCGAAGAGAAGCCUGCGUUUCUGCAGACCGUCCCAUACAUGUCAAGCCUAGGUAAGGUUCUUCGCGUUGCGUCGAAUUAAACCACAUGCUCCACCGCUUGUGCGGGUCCCCGUCAAUUCCUUUGAGUUUUAAUCUUGCGACCGUACUCCCCAGGCGGUCGACUUCACGCGUUAGCUGCGUUACCGAAGGAGUUACCCUCCGACAACUAGUCGACAUCGUUUAGGGCGUGGACUAC